Molecule: ribosomal RNA, 460 nt
Filed under: uncultured Saprospiraceae bacterium
Lineage: Bacteria; Pseudomonadati; Bacteroidota; Saprospiria; Saprospirales; Saprospiraceae
Description: bacterial SSU rRNA
Rfam family: Bacterial small subunit ribosomal RNA
Source: RNAcentral
CCUACGGGGGGCUGCAGUAAGGAAUAUUGGUCAAUGGACGAAAGUCUGAACCAGCCAUCCCGCGUGCAGGAUGAAGGUCCUAUGGAUUGUAAACUGCUUUUAGCAGAGAAGAAAAGCAUUCAUUUAUGAGUGUCUGACGGUAUCUGCGGAAUAAGCACCGGCUAACUCCGUGCCAGCAGCCGCGGUAAUACGGAGGGUGCAAGCGUUAUCCGGAAUCACUGGGUUUAAAGGGUGCGUAGGCGGAAUAUUAAGUCAGUGGUGAAAGCCUGUCGCUUAACGAUAGAACUGCCAUUGAUACUGAUAUUCUUGAAUUGGGUUGAGGUUAGCGGAAUGUGACAUGUAGCGGUGAAAUGCAUAGAUAUGUCAUGGAACACCAAUUGCGAAGGCAGCUAGCUGGGCCUUGAUUGACGCUGAGGCACGAAAGCGUGGGUAGCGAACAGGCUUAGAUACCCCGGUAGUC